RNAcentral lists this ribosomal RNA (433 nucleotides) under uncultured bacterium. Its description in RNAcentral is "partial 16S ribosomal RNA". It matches the Rfam family "Bacterial small subunit ribosomal RNA", at positions 29 to 507 of the family's 1533-position model. The record is from RNAcentral.
AGCGAACGCUGGCGGCAGGCCUAACACAUGCAAGUCGAACGAACUCUUCGGAGUUAGUGGCGGACGGGUGAGUAACACGUGGGAACGUGCCUUUAGGUUCGGAAUAACUCAGGGAAACUUGUGCUAAUACCGAAUGUGCCCUUCGGGGGAAAGAUUUAUCGCCUUUAGAGCGGCCCGCGUCUGAUUAGCUAGUUGGUGAGGUAAAGGCUCACCAAGGCGACGAUCAGUAGCUGGUCUGAGAGGAUGAUCAGCCACAUUGGGACUGAGACACGGCCCAAACUCCUACGGGAGGCAGCAGUGGGGAAUCUUGCGCAAUGGGCGAAAGCCUGACGCAGCCAUGCCGCGUGAAUGAUAAAGGUCUUAGGAUUGUAAAAUUCUUUCACCGGGGACGAUAAUGACGGUACCCGGAGAAGAAGCCCCGGCUAACUUCGUG